This 765-nucleotide ribosomal RNA is filed under the name uncultured Planctomycetota bacterium. RNAcentral describes it as "bacterial SSU rRNA". It matches the Rfam family "Bacterial small subunit ribosomal RNA", at positions 582 to 1339 of the family's 1533-position model. Lineage: Bacteria; Pseudomonadati; Planctomycetota. The record is from RNAcentral.
UGAAGGUGUGUCGUGAAAUCCCUCGGCUCAACCGGGGAACUGCGAUGCAAACCACACGUCUUGAGUCAGGUAGAGGUUGUCGGAACGUUCGGUGGAGCGGUGAAAUGCGUAGAUAUCGAACGGAACGCCCAUGGGGAAGCCAGGCAACUGGACCUGUACUGACGCUGAGGCACGAAAGCGUGGGGAGCAAACAGGAUUAGAUACCCUGGUAGUCCACGCCGUAAACACUGUGCACUAGAUCGGUGGCGGUCUGACCCGUUGCCGGUCGCAGAGAAAUUAUUAAGUGCACCGCCUGGGGAGUACGGUCGCAAGGCUAAAACUCAAAGGAAUUGACGGGGGCUCACACAAGCGGUGGAGCAUGUUGCUUAAUUCGAAGCAACGCGAAGAACCUUACCAGGGUUUGACAUGCACGGAUUAGCCUUUGGAAACAUUGGUCACGCUCGCAAGAGUGGAACGUGCACAGGUGCUGCAUGGCUGUCGUCAGCUCGUGCUGUGAAGUGUCGGGUUAAGUCCCUUAACGAGCGCAACCCUUGUCGCUAGUUGCCAGCGAGUCAUGUCGGGGACUCUAGCGAGACUGCCGGUGUCAAACCGGAGGAAGGUGGGGAUGACGUCAAGUCAGCAUGGCCCUUAUGUCCUGGGACGCAAACGUGCUACAAUGGCCUGUACAGAGCGACGCGAUACCGCGAGGUGGAGCAAAUCGCAAAAAGCAGGCCCCAGUUCAGAUUGCAGUCUGCAACUCGACUGCAUGAAGGUGGAAUCGCUAGU